AGCUCUUCAUUGGGUCAGCUAUC
This 23-nucleotide microRNA is filed under the name Lottia gigantea (owl limpet). RNAcentral's name for it is "Lgi-Mir-22-P2_5p* (star (passenger))". The record is from RNAcentral. Lineage: Eukaryota; Metazoa; Mollusca; Gastropoda; Lottiidae.